This 260-nucleotide unclassified non-coding RNA is filed under the name Hevea brasiliensis (rubber tree). Lineage: Eukaryota; Viridiplantae; Streptophyta; Magnoliopsida; Malpighiales; Euphorbiaceae. The record is from RNAcentral.
AGAAAACUAAACUACAAAAGUUACAGCAGAUAAGGGUGAACUUUUUAAGGCUUGUUCAGAGACUAGGUGCUUCUCCGGAUGAUUCACUAGUAGCACAAGUUCUGUAUCGUUUUGGGCUUGUAGCUGGUAGGUCGACUGGUCAGCUAUUUAGCUUCGAUAAUGCAAAAAAUACAGCUAUUCAGCUUGAAGCAGAAGGAAAGGAAGAUUUAGACUUCUCAUUGAACAUACUUGUUCUUGGGAAAUCAGGUGUAGGAAAGAGU